GGUUAAGCGACUAAGCGUACACGGUGGAUGCCUAGGCAAUCAGAGGCGAUGAAGGACGUGCUAAUCUGCGAUAAGCGUCGGUAAGGUGAUAUGAACCGUUACAACCGACGAUUUCCGAAUGGGGAAACCCAGUGCAAUUCGUUGCACUAUCGUUUGAUGAAUACAUAGUCAAACGAAGCGAACCGGGGAACUGAAACAUCUCAGUACCCCGAGGAAAAGAAAUCAACCGAGAUUCCCUAGUAGCGGCGAGCGAACGGGGAGCAGCCCAGAGUCUUAAUCAGCAUUAGCAUCAGGAGAACGGUCUGGAAAGUCCGGCAGUAAGGGUGAUAGCCCCGUAUCCGAAGGUGUUAGUGUUGUGAACUCGACGAGUAGGGCGGGACACGUGUUAUCCUGUCUGAAUAUGGGGACCAUCCUCCAAGGCUAAAUACUCCUGAUUGACCGAUAGUGAACCAGUACCGUGAGGGAAAGGCGAAAAGAACCCCGGCGAGGGAGUGAAAUAGAACCUGAAACCGUGUACGUACAAGCAGUGGGAGCCCCAUCACUCAAGUGCCUCGGCAAUUGAGUGAUGGCUUAACAACCAUCACAAUAGCAGCGCAGAAUUUGCCAACAAGAUUGGUCGAUUUUUCGCGUCGCGUGUACAUCGAAGUACACGAGCAACGGAAGUUAAAAAUCGGGCAAGAUUGGCCGCCAAGCGGGACAUUUGAGGAUGGGGUGACUGCGUACCUUUGUAUAAUGGGUCAGCGACUUAUAUUCUGUAGCAAGGUUAACCGUAUAGGGAGCCGUAGGGAAACCGAGUCUUAACUGGGCGAAUAAGUUGCAGGGUAUAGACCCGAAACCCGGUGAUUCAGCCAUGGGCAGGUUGAAGGUUGGGUAACACUAACUGGAGGACCGAACCGACUAAUGUUGAAAAAUUAGCGGAUGACUUGUGGCUGGGGUGAAAGGCCAAUCAAACCGGGAGAUAGCUGGUUCUCCCCGAAAGCUAUUUAGGUAGCGCCUCGUGAACUCAUCUUCGGGGUAGAGCACUGUUUCGACUAGGGGGUCAUCCCGACUUACCAACUCGAUGCAAACUACGAAUACCGAAGAAUGUUAUCACGGGAGACACACGGCGGGUGCUAACGUUCGUCGUGAAGAGGGAAACAACCCAGACCGCCAGCUAAGGUCCCAAAGUCAUAGUUAAGUGGGAAACGAAGUGGGAAGGCUCAGACAGCCAGGAUGUUGGCUUAGAAGCAGCCAUCAUUUAAAGAAAGCGUAAUAGCUCACUGGUCGAGUCGGCCUGCGCGGAAGAUGUAACGGGGCUAAACUAUGCACCGAAGCUGCGGCAGCGAUAUGUAAAUAUUGUUGGGUAGGGGAGCGUUCUGUAAGCCUGUGAAGGUGUGCUGUGAGGCAUGCUGGAGGUAUCAGAAGUGCGAAUGCUGACAUAAGUAACGAUAAUGCGGGUGAAAACCCGCACGCCGGAAGACCAAGGGUUCCUGUCCAACGUUAAUCGGGGCAGGGUGAGUCGACCCCUAAGGCGAGGCAGAAAUGCGUAGUCGAUGGGAAACGGGUUAAUAUUCCCGUACUGGUGAUAAUUGCGAUGGGGGACGGAGAAGGCUAGGCUAUCCGGCGACGGUUGUCCCGGUUUAAGGAUGUAGGCAGGUGAAUUAGGCAAAUCCGGUUCACUAUAUGCUGAGGUCCGACGACGAGUCACUACGGUGAUGAAGUAGCUCAUGCCCCGCUUCCAGGAAAAGCCUCUAAGCUCUAGAUUAUCAUUAAUCGUACCCCAAACCGACACAGGUGGUCAGGUAGAGAAUACUCAGGCGCUUGAGAGAACUCGGGUGAAGGAACUAGGCAAAAUGGUGCCGUAACUUCGGGAGAAGGCACGCUGGCAUUAGGUGAAGUGAUUUACCAUGGAGCUGAAGCCAGUCGCAGAUACCAGCUGGCUGCAACUGUUUAUUAAAAACACAGCACUGUGCAAACACGAAAGUGGACGUAUACGGUGUGACGCCUGCCCGGUGCUGGAAGGUUAAUUGAUGGGGUUAUCCGUAAGGAGAAGCUCUUGAUCGAAGCCCCAGUAAACGGCGGCCGUAACUAUAACGGUCCUAAGGUAGCGAAAUUCCUUGUCGGGUAAGUUCCGACCUGCACGAAUGGCGUAAUGAUGGCCAGGCUGUCUCCACCCGAGACUCAGUGAAAUUGAACUCGCUGUGAAGAUGCAGUGUACCCGCGGCAAGACGGAAAGACCCCGUGAACCUUUACUAUAGCUUGACACUGAACAUUGAGCCUUGAUGUGUAGGAUAGGUGGGAGGCUUUGAAGCGUGGACGCCAGUCUGCGUGGAGCCAACCUUGAAAUACCACCCUUUAAUGUUUGAUGUUCUAACGUUGCCCCAUUAUCUGGGGUGCGGACAGUGUCUGGUGGGUAGUUUGACUGGGGCGGUCUCCUCCCAAAGAGUAACGGAGGAGCACGAAGGUUGGCUAAGCAUGGUCGGACAUCAUGCGGUUAGUGCAAAGGCAUAAGCCAGCUUGACUGCGAGAGUGACGGCUCGAGCAGGUACGAAAGUAGGUCUUAGUGAUCCGGUGGUUCUGAAUGGAAGGGCCAUCGCUCAACGGAUAAAAGGUACUCCGGGGAUAACAGGCUGAUACCGCCCAAGAGUUCAUAUCGACGGCGGUGUUUGGCACCUCGAUGUCGGCUCAUCACAUCCUGGGGCUGAAGUAGGUCCCAAGGGUACGGCUGUUCGCCGUUUAAAGUGGUACGCGAGCUGGGUUUAGAACGUCGUGAGACAGUUCGGUCCCUAUCUGCCGUGGGCGUUGGAAGAUUGAAAGGGGCUGCUCCUAGUACGAGAGGACCGGAGUGGACGCACCACUGGUGUUCGGGUUGUCAUGCCAAUGGCAUUGCCCGGUAGCUAAGUGCGGAAGAGAUAACCGCUGAAAGCAUCUAAGCGGGAAACUUGCCUUGAGAUGAGUCUUCCCUGACUCUUUAAGGGUCCUAAAGGAACGUUUAAGACUAAGACGUUGAUAGGUUGGGUGUGUAAGCGUAGCGAUACGUUGAGCUAACCAAUACUAAUGAACCGUGAGGCUUAACCUG
RNAcentral lists this ribosomal RNA (3058 nucleotides) under Providencia rettgeri. RNAcentral describes it as "23S ribosomal RNA". It matches the Rfam family "Bacterial large subunit ribosomal RNA". Lineage: Bacteria; Pseudomonadati; Pseudomonadota; Gammaproteobacteria; Enterobacterales; Morganellaceae. The record is from RNAcentral.